UCGUCUCAUCCCCCACGAGCUCACUCACUCACGGGAUCACAGCGGGACUGCUCGCGACGCGGUCACGGAUAAUAACAGUUCUUAGUAAAUACAAAGGUGAUGUCCGCUCCGAGACCGCAACGCGACCACCGCCUCAAUUGCACAAAACGCUUCCACUCCAAGAGAAAGCGGCAGCCGCGCGGCGAUUCCAACGCUUGGCACGUCCCGUGUGAAAGGGCCUUAACCGUCACUCGUGCCACAGAUCUGAAGCAAGAGCAAAGGCAGCGAGGGGUGGUGUGAUGUCAUUGGCAACAAGACGGCUGCGAUACUGAUAGGAGCCUAAAAUGAAGGAAAAUCGCUGAUGUGAAUGAUGCUGGUUCGAGUCCCACCUCAGACAAGGUCAUCAAAGUCUACAAAGAAUGCCGAUUGUGAAUAAAAAUAAAUUUCUUGUCACCCAGAUUAAUUUUUGUGUGAUUUGAUAAUUAUAUUUUACCAGUGUUUGAAUUGUGUCAAAGCUCUUUGGCC
This is a long non-coding RNA of Sinocyclocheilus anshuiensis, 504 nucleotides long. RefSeq lists it as uncharacterized. NCBI's taxonomy places the organism in Eukaryota, Metazoa, Chordata, Actinopteri, Cypriniformes, Cyprinidae. The transcript is spliced from 4 exons. The record is from RefSeq and is a predicted model, not a curated record.